RNAcentral lists this long non-coding RNA (1123 nucleotides) under Phasianus colchicus (ring-necked pheasant). RNAcentral describes it as "lncRNA (ENSPCLG00000011535.1)". The record is from RNAcentral. Lineage: Eukaryota; Metazoa; Chordata; Aves; Galliformes; Phasianidae.
AGAACUGCAGAAGAUCCAACCACGGAGACUGAUCAGUAAUAAUUCCUAACUGUUCAUACAGCUUCAAGUUUGUGCCAGGUCUUCAAAGGUAGAGGGGUGAUGACAGUGCUCUGUUAGAGGCUGUGGAACAGUCAGGGGGAAGCUGGCAUAAAUUGGCUCUUGUGUUUUGUGGUUAUAUGCUUCUUAGGAGAGAGAUCAGCUCUUCUCAGUGUACACUUUUGUAAGUCAUGUGAAGGGCAGAUGGGUUACGUUAAUUAUUUCUUUGAAAUCUUACUUUGCCUUCCGAGCACCCUGAUCUAGAUCUAGCUGUAGAUGUCCCUGUUUAUUGCAGGGGAGUUGGACCAGAUGACCUUCAAGAGUCCCUUCCAACUCAGAUGAUUCUAUGAUUUUCCUUUUAUCAAACUUCACACUCAGUACAUGUAAGAUUUCUGAGACAAGGCCCUUUAUUUUGAACUGCAACUGCAAAGUAUCACUGAAAGCUCUAGAGCUACAUAAAUGCUGAUGCUAGCAGUCACGUUGCCUGAGUCUAUACUGCUAAAUAAAUCAGGGCCAAGAUGUAGUAUCAAGCACUGCCUUGUAACCGCUCAUACUGCUUUUUGUUGUCAGCACUCUCCGGCUAUGGUUUGGCCUCUGCCAACUAAUGCUCUCCAGGGCAACAUCCUGGUACAAUUAGAGAGAGAGAACAGGGCAGUCACUGUUCCCAGUGGGCAACAUGGACAUCAUUGUAGCAGGAUGAUUAAGAACGGUUCAGCUGAGUUCCCUGGAGCUAAGGCAGAGACAGUGAAGAUUCCCUAUUCUACACUGAUUCUACAGAUCUCUUGUCAGACAUCAGAAGUGCCACUUAAAGCCUCACUUUUGUCAGCUAUACUUGCCUACUCAUAGAAUCAGAGCGCAAUACAGUGCUGCCUAUUGGACAGGCUUCCAUGCAUGAAUGCUGCUGAUGCAAGUAUGGCUUCACAGACAGCAAUCUCUUGCUUGGCUUCCAGUGCACUUGUACAGCCCAGUGGUGUCUUCCCAGCCUGGAAGUGGACCCAGCAGGAAACAAGGAGAAAUUGCUGUCCAUUCAGCCUACUCCUUUCUUCAGUAUAUGUAUUUGGUAAAAAGGGGCAGGCCAUAAUUCUCA